This 113-nucleotide ribosomal RNA is filed under the name Rhodoferax aquaticus. The record is from RNAcentral. Lineage: Bacteria; Pseudomonadati; Pseudomonadota; Betaproteobacteria; Burkholderiales; Comamonadaceae.
CCUGACGACCAUAGCGAGUUGGUACCACUCCUUCCCAUCCCGAACAGGACCGUGAAACGACUCUGCGCCAAUGAUAGUGCGGAUCCCCGUGUGAAAGUAGGACAUCGUCAGGC